AAACCAGCACCUCAAGUGGUCAGGAGGAUUAUUGGGCCUAAAGCAUCCGUAGCCUGUUCUAUAAGUUUCCGGUUAAAUCCAUUAGCUCAACUAAUGGGCCGCCGAAAAUACUGUGGAACUAGGGAGUGGGAGAGGUAGACGGUACUCGGUAGGAAGGGGUAAAAUCCUUUGAUCUAUUGAUGACCACCUGUGGCGAAGGCGGUCUACCAGAACACGUUCGACGGUGAGGGAUGAAAGCUGGGGGAGCAAACCGGAUUAGAAACCCCUGUAGUCC
RNAcentral lists this ribosomal RNA (274 nucleotides) under uncultured bacterium. RNAcentral's name for it is "partial 16S ribosomal RNA". It matches the Rfam family "Archaeal small subunit ribosomal RNA", at positions 473 to 747 of the family's 1478-position model. The record is from RNAcentral.